This 523-nucleotide ribosomal RNA is filed under the name bacterium enrichment culture clone ADE_28. Its description in RNAcentral is "bacterial SSU rRNA". It matches the Rfam family "Bacterial small subunit ribosomal RNA", at positions 1 to 525 of the family's 1533-position model. The record is from RNAcentral.
UAGAGUUUGAUCCUGGCUCAGAUUGAACGCUGGCGGCAUGCUUUACACAUGCAAGUCGAACGGCAGCGCGGGCUUCGGCCUGGCGGCGAGUGGCGAACGGGUGAGUAAUAUAUCGGAACGUACCCAAGAGUGGGGGAUAACGUAGCGAAAGUUACGCUAAUACCGCAUACGAUCCAAGGAUGAAAGCAGGGGACCGCAAGGCCUUGUGCUCCUGGAGCGGCCGAUAUCUGAUUAGCUAGUUGGUGAGGUAAAGGCUCACCAAGGCAACGAUCAGUAGCUGGUCUGAGAGGACGACCAGCCACACUGGAACUGAGACACGGUCCAGACUCCUACGGGAGGCAGCAGUGGGGAAUUUUGGACAAUGGGGGCAACCCUGAUCCAGCAAUGCCGCGUGAGUGAAGAAGGCCUUCGGGUUGUAAAGCUCUUUUGUCAGGGAAGAAAAGGGAGUGGCUAAUAUCCAUUCCUGCUGACGGUACCUGAAGAAUAAGCACCGGCUAACUACGUGCCAGCAGCCGCGGUAAUA